AAUAUUGCACAAUGGGCGAAAGCCAGACGCAGCAACGCCGCGUGAGUGCAGAAGGCCUUCGCGUCGUAAAGCUCUUUGAUCUGGGAUGAUAAUAACAGUACCUGAAAAACAAGACACGCCUAACUACGUGCCAGCAGCCGCGGUAAUACGUAGGUGGCGAGCGUUGUCCGGAAUUACUUGGCGUAAAGGAUGCGUAGGUGGAUAUUUAAGUGGGAUGUGAAAUCCCCGGGCUCAACCCGGGAACUGCAUUCCAAACUGGGUAACUAGAGUGCAGGAGAGGAAAGCGGAAUUCCUAGUGUAGCGGUGAAAUGCGUAGAUAUUAGGAGGAACACCAGUGGCGAAGGCGGCUUUCUGGACUGUAACUGACACUGAGGCAUGAAAGCGUGGGUAGCAAACAGG
Molecule: ribosomal RNA, 399 nt
Filed under: uncultured bacterium
Lineage: Bacteria
Description: partial 16S ribosomal RNA
Rfam family: Bacterial small subunit ribosomal RNA
Source: RNAcentral